UGGGGAAUUUUGGACAAUGGGCGAAAGCCUGAUCCAGCAAUGCCGCGUGUGUGAAGAAGGCCUUCGGGUUGUAAGCACUUUUGUCCGGAAAGAAAUCCUUGGCUCUAAUACAGUCGGGGGAUGACGGUACCGGAAGAAUAAGCACCGGCUAACUACGUGCCAGCAGCCGCGGUAAUACAUAGGGUGCAAGCGUUAAUCGGAAUUACUGGGCGUAAAGCGUGCGCAGGCGGUUUGCUAAGACCGAUGUGAAAUCCCCGGGCUCAACCUGGGAACUGCAUUGGUGACUGGCAGGCUAGAGUAUGGCAGAGGGGGGUAGAAUUCCACGUGUAGCAGUGAAAUGCGUAGAGAUGUGGAGGAAUACCGAUGGCGAAGGCAGCCCCCUGGGCCAAUACUGACGCUCAUGCACGAAAGCGUGGGGGAGCAAACAGGAUUCAGAUACCCUGGUAGUCCACGCCCUAAACGAUGUCAACUAGUUGUUGGGGAUUCAUUUCCUUAGUAACGUAGCUAACGCGUGAAGUUGACCGCCUGGGGAGUACGGUCGCAAGAUUAAAACUUAAAUGAAUUGACGGGGUCAUAGCUGUUUCCU
This 586-nucleotide ribosomal RNA is filed under the name uncultured bacterium. RNAcentral describes it as "partial 16S ribosomal RNA". It matches the Rfam family "Bacterial small subunit ribosomal RNA", at positions 355 to 1375 of the family's 1533-position model. The record is from RNAcentral.